Long non-coding RNA from Podarcis muralis (Common wall lizard), 1868 nucleotides. RefSeq lists it as uncharacterized. The record is from RefSeq and is a predicted model, not a curated record. Lineage: Eukaryota; Metazoa; Chordata; Lepidosauria; Squamata; Lacertidae.
AGAUGGGCUGGGUAUAAAUAAUCAUCAUCAUCAUCAUCAUCAUCAUCAUUAUUAAUAAUAAUUCUCAUGGUGUACUGCCUGAGUUUGCCAGCUUUCUGUGGCCACUGCACCUGAUUGUUCUGGCUAGGGCUGACAGGAGUUAUAGUCCAAAACCUCUGGAGAGUACCAGGGUUGAUGGCUUCUGCACUGUUUGCCUGCAACAUCUGGUAACCAGAGAGGUAUGCAGCCUCUGAACAUGAACAUUUCAUUUCUAGCUAUUUGUUGUGUGAAGAGGUAGCUCCUACUGUUCGUCUGGGAACCUGCUGCCUUUUGAUGACUGACUAAUAUUUCUCAACAGCACCGUCACAUUGCUGGGUGUGGCAAUGCAUGCUUUUUAUUGCACCCCAUUUUAUGGCUAGCCAUCACCACCCACGGCAAUCACGGAGGCAGCAGCUGCAGGGCCACCAAGACUUAUUUAAUGCUGAAAUUUAGAGGGCAGAUUUAUGGUUGACACAAGCAGGUGCAGCUGUGCCAAAGUCAAUGAAGUAACUUUUGCUGAUGCAGUUAGGAUCUCAGAAAAAGAGGUGCUGGAGCUCCCACGCGCUGCCCCACAGCCUCCAACACAAAGCCACGAGCAGCAUGCCGCCCGAAGUCUCCAACACGCAGCUCUGGGCGCCGUGCCGGUAUACUGCACAGCUGCCGGUAUGCUAAAAAGAGGUGCCGGAACGCACUGAAGAGAUGGCGUAACUCAGUUCUGGUGCGUUCCAGCUGAAAAAAAGCCCUGUUUGCAAAGGCAAGCAAGAAGCAUGAUCAAUGUUCAAGGACACAUUCAGCCAAUCAAAAGGACUCAUGAAGGAUGUGAAACAGAGCCAGUGAGGAGAAGUGCCAAGGCUCAGACGGCUGCAUUCAGCCCCUGGGGUUCCCAACCGAGGGUUCCCUUGCUUUAACUUUGUUCCCAACAUGAAAUUAAUGAACUAAGCCAGUGGUUCCCAAUGGUUGGUCUGCAGACCCCAGGGGUAACAAAACUACCAUAGAGAUAAUGAUUUUUUCAAAAGUUGUGGGUCCAUGGCUUGGCGGUUUUAAAACAGGGGCUCCAUCAUACUUAGCUAAUUGGGAAGCACUGAGCUAAGCAAUAAAAAUGGCAGAAACAGUUUUUUUGCUUAGUAUUCCAGAAGCAUAAGGGUCAGUUUGGACAAACCAUUAAUAAUUUCAUGAUUAUUAAUGACUGAGGACCAACUAUUUUGAGGUUUAAAAAGCUUCAUCAUAAGCAAGAGCGCAGAAGCAAAGUACACUCAGUCCAUAGACAGAACCCAAGCACAAUUUGCUGGGGCCUGGAGCUAGAGUCUGUUGCCAUGAGGAAAAAUAGUGAGCUUGGGCUUGAGCAUGUUUCUGCAACCUUAUUUUCCUGUAUCUAAGUAUUUAUAUGGAGGAUCUAGAUCUUGUACAGUUUUCUGGAGCCACUUAAAAGGACUGUAGAAGCAACUUCCUGAAUAAUCAACUGCUGGUUGAAACCCUCUCAUCUGAGGGUGCAAGAGAAAGCAUGAACGGGAAACUCUAGGCCUUAUAGUUUGCAAGAAAAGACAUGGUUGCCUUUUUCCUAUGUCCCCCUUCAUGCAUUACUUGCCUGAAGGCACAUCACACAAUUAGUGGGUCACAGCACCAUGCUCCUGGCCCCACCCCAGCAUUGAGCUCUGCUCCUAGGUGUCCAUGUGUACUCUGCAGUUUGAAGAGGAGCUCCUUCUGCAUAGGUUUCCAUGCCACUGGGACCCCAUGGUUUAAAGGUGCCAUGUUCCAGUAAGUCAUAGUUAAGAUGAACCACAGUGCAUUUGGUUUGGGGCAAUGCUAAACUGUGGUUAGUUAACAAUGGAAAUGAAAGCUUCUGUUCUCCU